CCAAUAGCGUAUAUUAAAGUUGUUGCAGUUAAAAAGCUCGUAGUUGAAUUUCGGGAUCAAUAUGUCGGUCGUGCCUCGGUACGUACUGGUGUCAUUGGUUUCUCCCUUCUGAAGAACCUUGAUGUCAUUAAUUUGGUGUCUUGGGGAAUCAGGACUGUUACUUUGAAAAAAUUAGAGUGUUUAAAGCGGGCUCGCGCUUGAAUACAUUAGCAUGGAAUAAUGAAAUAGGACGUUUGAUUCUAUUUUGUUGGUUUCUAGGAUCGACGUAAUGAUUAAUAGGGAUAGUUGGGGGCAUUAGUAUUCAAUUGUCAGAGGUGAAAUUCUUGGAUUUAUUGAAGACUAACUACUGCGAAAGCAUUUGCCAAGGAUGUUUUCAUUAAUCAAGAACGAAAGUUAGGGGAUCGAAGACGAUCAGAUACCGUCGUAGUCUUAACCAUAAACUAUGCCGACUAGGGAUCGGAUGAUGUUGAUUUUUUAAUGACUCAUUCGGCGCCUUACG
This 499-nucleotide ribosomal RNA is filed under the name uncultured Glomeromycotina. Its description in RNAcentral is "partial small subunit ribosomal RNA". It matches the Rfam family "Eukaryotic small subunit ribosomal RNA", at positions 591 to 1092 of the family's 1831-position model. Lineage: Eukaryota; Fungi; Glomeromycota. The record is from RNAcentral.